GACGAACGCUGGCGGCGCGGCCUAACACAUGCAAGUCGAACGGAGAUAAGGAGGAGGCUUGCUCCACCUUAUCUGAGUGGCGGACGGGUGAGUAACGCGUGAGUAACCUGCCUUAAAGAGGGGGAUAACGUCUGGAAACGGACGCUAAUACCGCAUAACAUAUUGUUUUCGCAUGGAGAUGAUAUCAAAGGAGCAAUCCGCUUUAAGAUGGACUCGCGUCUGAUUAGCUAGUUGGCGGGGUAACGGCCCACCAAGGCGACGAUCAGUAGCCGGACUGAGAGGUUGGUCGGCCACAUUGGGACUGAGACACGGCCCAG
RNAcentral lists this ribosomal RNA (317 nucleotides) under uncultured bacterium. RNAcentral describes it as "bacterial SSU rRNA". It matches the Rfam family "Bacterial small subunit ribosomal RNA", at positions 28 to 334 of the family's 1533-position model. The record is from RNAcentral.